AUUGAACGCUGGCGGCAGGCCUAACACAUGCAAGUCGAGCGAUCGGCGGACGGGUGAGUAAUGUAUGGGGACUGCCCGAUAGAGGGGGAUAACUACUGGAAACGGUGGCUAAUACCGCAUACUAUCGGAUAACCCAUAUGGGAUUAGCUAGUAGGGGGGGUAAAGGCUCACCUCGGCGACGCUCUCUCGCUGGUCUGAGGGGAUGAUCAGCCACCCUGGGACUUAGACACGGUCCAGACUCCUACGGAGGCAGCAGGGGGGAAGAUUGCACACUGGGCGCAAGCCUGAUGCAUCCAUGCCGCGUGUAUGAAGAAGGCCUUAGGGUUGUAAAGUACUUUCAGCGGGGAGGCGUUACCCGCAGAAGAAGCACCGGCUAACUCCGUGCCAGCAGCCGCGGUAAUAC
Molecule: ribosomal RNA, 403 nt
Filed under: uncultured bacterium
Lineage: Bacteria
Description: partial 16S ribosomal RNA
Rfam family: Bacterial small subunit ribosomal RNA
Source: RNAcentral